RNAcentral lists this long non-coding RNA (1418 nucleotides) under Phocoena sinus (vaquita). RNAcentral describes it as "lncRNA (ENSPSNG00000013952.1)". The record is from RNAcentral. Lineage: Eukaryota; Metazoa; Chordata; Mammalia; Artiodactyla; Phocoenidae.
UGGAACUGGUGGGGCACGGUUGAGUCCGCGUGGGCGCUGGGUAACAGGCGGGCGGAAGUGUCGCACACUGGCCGUGCCUCGAGCGUCCCGGCGCUGGGACCAUCCCACAUCCUUCAGGAAAAGAAAGAAAGCAUAUUACAGUGCAGAGAACAGAGACUUUGGAAACAAACCUGGAUUUAUAUUCUGACUGCAAUUUACUGUUUAUGGUCAAGUCACAUAAUCUGCAUCUUUGUUUCUUCAUCUACAAUAUGGGUGGAACAAUUGACCUUUCAGGACUUCUUUGUGAGAAUGAAGGGAGCCCCGUGGAGAACCCCAAAUGAAGGUUUUAAACGAGAAAGGAGAAUUUAUUAAAAGGAUACAGGAAUGUCUCCAGGAUACAGCUGAGCCUGAGGAAUGAACUAGAACUAGGGUAGGUGUUUCAAACAUUUUACAUAUUUAUUUAUUUUUAGAAGGCCCUGCUAAGCCUAUAGUUUGUUUUUUUUGUUUGUUUUUUAUACAGCAGGUUCUUGUUACUUGUCUAUUUUAUGCAUAUUGGUGUGUAUGUGUUGGUCCCAAUCUCCCAAUUCAACGCCCCUCCCCGCCACUUUCCCCCCUUGGCGUCCAUGCGUUUGUUCUCUACAUCUGUGUCUCUACUUCUGCCUUGCAAGCCUUGCAUCUGUGUCUCUAUUUCUGCCUUGCAAGCCUCUAUUUCAUCUGUGCCAUUUUUCUAGAUUCCACAUAUAUGCGUUAACAUACAAUGUUUGUUUUUCUGACUUGCUUCACUCUGUGGCAGUCUCUGGGUCCAUCCGGGUCUCUACAGGUGGCCCAAUUUUGUUCCUUUUUGCGGCUGAGUGGUGUUCCAUUGUAUGUGUGUGCCACACCUUCUUUAUCCGCUGUCUGUCUAUGGGCAUUUAGGUUGCUUAAGCAUUUUACAUGUUUAAUCCUCACAGCAACUCAUUCAAUCCUCAAGUCAACCCUCUGAGGUAGGUAAUACUAUAAUAAUCAUCCCCAUUUUACAGAUACGGAGACUGAGAGAUUGAGUAGUUUAACUCAACACCUAGUAACGUGGUAGCCAUAUUUCAAAUUCAGGGAGUUUGGCUUCAGAGUCUGUGUUAACCCCUACGUCAUAUUGUCUCAAAUGGUGAUAAGUACGAUGAAAAAAGAAGCUGGGACUGGUAGAUAACAAGACAGAAAGGACCUGGAUCCUUGAUAACAUUGCUGAGCCACUUACUUUUACAAGUUACAGAGAUGCCCUUAUUUAGGGCUCUGGUUAUAUAAGAUAAUAAAUCCCUUUAUUGGGGGACUUCCCUGGUGGUUCGGUUGUUAAAGACUCCGUGCUCCCAAUGCAGGGCGCCUGGCUUCAACCCCUGGUCAGGGAACUAGAUCCUGCGUGCCGCAACUGAAGAUCCUGCACGCCACAACUAAGACCCGGCACAGCC